This 265-nucleotide long non-coding RNA is filed under the name Elaeis guineensis (African oil palm). Its description in RNAcentral is "long non-coding RNA (EGUI_LNC004077)". Lineage: Eukaryota; Viridiplantae; Streptophyta; Magnoliopsida; Arecales; Arecaceae. The record is from RNAcentral.
CAGGCACUAUUUGACCAAUACAAAUCCCAAUUAGGUACAUCUCUUUUCACAGUCAUGUCUACUAUCUUAGGUAUGUCUGAUUGGUAUUUUGAUUCUGCUUGUAGCAAUCAUAUGACAUCUAAUCCACAUCUUUUUUAUACUAAGACUCCUACUCUCUUUGCCCCUUUGAUACAUACUACUGAUAGCACCACUUUAUCUGUCACUCACACUGGUCAUGUCACUACCUCUACUCUAUCCCUUUCUCAUACAUUUUUGCUUCCUAAAC